Long non-coding RNA from Cannabis sativa, 5257 nucleotides. RefSeq lists it as uncharacterized. The transcript has 3 exons. Lineage: Eukaryota; Viridiplantae; Streptophyta; Magnoliopsida; Rosales; Cannabaceae. The record is from RefSeq and is a predicted model, not a curated record.
AAUAUUUAAUUUUUUUUUUAUUUUUUAUGGUUUUUUAAAUUUAAAAGUCUAUUUUUUUGUGGAAUUUUAUUUCUUACAAUCAAUUAUUUUCCUAUAUUUUUUCCUUCCAAUAUUUUAUUUAUUUUAUUCAUUUUUAUUUAAGAUUUUUACACUACGUACCAAAUUUAAUUACUUUUUUUUAUAUUUUUAAUGCUUAUCAAUUUAUUAAACAUUUUUACAAACCUAUUUUUACUUUUUUAAAUCUCAAAAAUUAUUAUAAUUACAAAAAUACUACAUUCACUAUUUGGUUUCUCUCAUUUUCGUUUCUUCUUCUUUGUCUCCGACUACUAAUGAAGGGUGGUGGUUCGGCAACUGAGUCGUAAGUCGGAUAAGUCGAGCUCAAAUUGCCACUUCCAACUACACAAAGCCAACUCGUUCAUGGAGUCCUUCCCUUGAGAACACAUUGCACCGACUCCGUUGUCGCAACUCACUCACCCCAUCACUUGUUGCACGAGUCAUUGACCCCAUCCUUCUCCCUCGCCACUCACUUGCACUUGGAUUCUUCAACUGGCAGCCCAACAACCAGGUUUCAGUCACACUUUCAUAACUUACCAAUCAAUCCUCAAAUCUCUUUCUUGUUCCCGCCAAUUCAAUGCCAUUUAUACUCUCCUCAAGCAAGUGAAAACCCAAAAAGUUACUCUCCAUUAUUCUAUUUAUGGCUUUGUUAGAUUUAGACCCAAAAUAUGUAACUCUUUAUUAGCUACUUUAGUUUUUGCUGGUUAUUUUGCGCAUGCUCAGAAGGUGUUCGAUGAAAUGUCUCAAAAAGAUGUUCCUUUUACGACUCUAGGAUUUGGUGUGUUUAUAUGGAGAUAUGUGAGAAAGUUGAAUUGAGUGUUGUUUUAAGUGUGUUAGAUGAGGUUAAAUCAUGUGAGUAUUAAUGGGAACUAUAAACUUGAUUGUGUUUGAAGUAUUUCAAUCAAUAGGGAAUGUGUUUAAGAUAGAGAAGGUUUUUUUUUUUUUUUUUAAAAAAAAAAGAGAGAAAGCUUGGGGUAGCUCCAAGGACUCUUGACUAUAGAGACUUCAUCUUAUGUUUGAUUAUGGAGAGGAGAUUAUAUGAAGCAAAAGAGUGGGUGAAAUAAUUGUUAGUGGAAACUUUCUAAUGGAGGAUGAUGUCUAAAGUUACAUAUUAAAGAGGAGUUGUUAUCAUGUUGUUUGUUUAUUGUCAUAUAGUUGUUCAAGCAUGUACAUUAAGAUUGUUUGUGUGUUGUUCAAUUUUAAUCCCACAUUAUUUAUUUAUGUAUCCAAAAGAUAAUAUUUUAAAUUAAUUUGAUUUGUGCCAAUAUAUUUAAGAAAUAUUUUUUUUUUGUUGUUUUAAAUUUUUAUUUUAAGUUUGACACUAUAUUUUGAUGGGAGUUGUUAUCCUUUUAUUUGUUUGUUGUUAUUUAGUUAUUCAAGCAUGUAUUAAUGUUGUUUGUGUGUUGUGUUUAUAUUGUUAGUUAGCAAUUAAAAAACAAUCCAAAUGCAAGUUAGCGAUUCUAAUCCCACGUUAUAUAUUUAUGUAUUUAGAAGAUAAUUUUUUUAAAUUUAUUUGAUUUGUGGCAAUAUAUUUCAGAUAUUUAUUUUCGUUGUUUUAAAUUUUUAUUUUGAGUUUAGGCGCUAUAUUUUGAUGUCUAAUUAAUUUUCAUAUUAAAGUAGAGUUAUUAUAUUCUUUUGUUUUUUUUUAUUUAUUUGUUCAACCAAUAUAAAAAUGAGUAUCUAUUUCAUUUUUCAUAGUUACAUAUACUUUUGAGUUAGUGUACAAGUAUUUUGUAGUUGUUUUUAGUUUUAGUUUUUUUUUUUUUAGAUUAUUGGUUUGUAGCUUUUAUUUUUGUUAUUGCAAUGUGUUGAAAUCUAUUUAAUUUGCAUAUUAAAGUGGGGUUGUUAUUGUGUUAUUUUAGUGUUUUUAUUUAGUUGUCUAAAUAAUGUAAAUAUAAUAAUAUGUUUAAUUUUUCAUGAGUACACCUAUUAAGAUUGCUUUUGUGUUGUUAAACCGUUGUUUCUUGGUUGUUAAUUAUCUGUUUAAACAUGUAUUAAGGUUGUGUGUGUGUUGUGAGAACCCAAAAAAGUUACUGCAAUGUGGUGUUGAAAUCUAUUUAUUUUUGUAUUGGGUUGUAACUUUUAUUUUUGUUAUUGCAAUGUGGUGUUGAAAUCUAUUUAACUUGCAUAUUAAAGUGAGAUUGUUAUUGUGUUGUUUUACUGUUGUUAUUUAAUUGUCCAAAUAACAUAAAAAUAAUAAUAAUAUGUUUAAUUUUUCAAAAGUAUAUGUAUUAAGAUUUUUUUUGUGUUGUUAUGCAGUUGUUUGUUGGUUGUUAAUUAGAUGUUUAAACAUGUAAUAAGGUUGUGUGUGUGUUGUGUAUAUGUUAUUUUAAGGUUGUUAACAGUAUUUUGUUCAUGUCCAAUUGAUUUACAUAUUUUUUUUUUUAAUUAGUAUUAUUGUGUAGUUAUAUUUUUGUUGUCAAAUAAAGUUAAAUGCCAAUUUUUGUAUAUAUCUUUAUAUAUUAAAAGUGCCUAUCUAACGGCAAUUCUUGGUUUAACGAUUCUAUUUUUUUUUUUAACGACAAAGACUAUUCUUUUUAUUUUUUAAACGGAUCUUUUCUAACGCCGUUAAGCUAUUAACAAAUUUAAAAAACCAAUCGAUCCUUCCAUUUCAAACCAAUCGACUUCACUCUCCCAAUCCCAAUCUACGACUCUAAGGUGAGUUCGGAGGUCAUAAGAAUUUUUCCCUUUUUUCCCUCGGUUGGAGUCGACUUUAUGGUGAGAGCUUGAUCAGAGGCCCAAUCCCAAUCGGAGGUCAAUCGGAAAAAAGGUUAUAAGAAAACUCCUCCAUUUUAAAUCGCUAUACUGAACUACUCUUCCAAAUCACCGACUCCUCCAUUUCACUCUCCCAAUCCCAAUCGGAGGUCAUUCGAUUUUAAUCCCUCGGUUGGAGUCGACGAUUGAAGGCAUAAAGAACGUUUUGGGUUCUUAAUCGCUACUUUCGAAUCGAAAAUUGGGAGUUCAGUCGGACGCCGCCACUACUAGCCCCAAGGGCCGUAGAUCUGACUCCAGAUUUCUUCAUUGGUAUAUUCGACGUGAGAAUCGGUUAGUAUCUCCACGCCCAAAAUAUGGAUUUCAGACCCAACCCAGUUCACCGUGUUAACCUGUGAUAUUAUGCACCUAUUCAUUGAAUUUCCAAUUUCCAAUUUCAACUGAACCAGACAAGUAGUAAAUCUCCCUCUCAUUUUUAAGACUUCUAUGAUUCUAUCUGUCAAUGUUUUUAAUAUUGCCAAAUAUUACUUUUUUUUUAUUUAUUCUCUUAUCUAUUUUUUAUUUUAGGCAGCUGUUAUAAAACAAAGAUCUUGGAUGGUUUUGAUGUGCAGAGAACCCUUGGCUUGAGUGACGCACUGAAGAAGUCCACCAUUCAUAUUUCUUGUGCAGUGGUAAUGUAAGUGAAUAUUAUUUUUUUUUAUUUGAUGUUAAGUGAUUAUUACUUGUAUUGCACUUUUUCUGAACCUGGUUCAACCUACAAUUCCAACAGCUGGAGAGACCAGCUGCAUAUGAUUAUUUAUUGAAUCAAUUUCAAUUUCAAGUUUUUCUUCAAGAGAUAUACAAACAUACAGGCAGCUCCCAAUGGUUUAUUUGGGCUUGGAAUGGAGAAGAUAUCAGUACCUAGAAUUUUAUCGAGGGAAGACUUUAUAGCAAAUUUUUUUUCCUGCAUCUCUUUUAUAUUAUUUAUAAUGUGUGGCUUAAUGCUCUAGGCUUGUGCCCGAUAAGAAUUUAAAUUCUGCUUGGUGAUUGGACUAAUGGGAUACUGUGUAGCUUUGGAAUGCAUUUCAUAAUAUAUAUAUAUUACGUACUUACAUUAGUUGUUGAUUGUUGAAUGUCCUUGUCUGAAUUGUCUUGUUUAUAGAGUGUUUUAUACAAACUUGAUAGUCAGAAUAUGAACAAUUUGAAUAGGUGAUAUAGUUUGUAUUGUUAUUUUUAUUUAAUACACAAUUCAAAUAUAUGGUUAUGGUUUUGGUUCCCUAACAUUUAAUUCUUGUAGCAAAAUGAUUAGCGGUUUUGAUAUGGCACCUCCUGCAUCUGCAAUGUUAGUUACUGCAGUAGCUUGUUUGGGAUGAUUAUUAUUAUGUCAAGAAUCCAAACAUAAACAUGUGACUCACCAUGACACAUGUAAAUCCAUUUAAUAAAUGCUUAAGUGUGCUUUUUAAUCGCUAUUUAAAAUGUUUAAAGUGAGUUAUGCUUGUAUUGUGCUGACAUGACACUACCUUUUUACUUAAAUGUAUCAUGUGUCACUUUCGAGUUAAAUGUAUGUCUCAUCAUUAUUUAUGUUCAUGUUGCAUAUGUCGAAUGUUGGUUUGUCAUUUGAAUGUGUUCUAUCUAAAAAAAUUGUAUGACAUAAUUUCAAAUAGUGAAAGUGUUUGGUAAAGAUCAAACAUAGAAUGUGUAAAUGGAUGCUUAUUCCUGUGGUUGAGAAACUAACAAAUUAUUAUCCAUAAAUAUGACACAAUUAUGAUGAUGACUUUAGAAUCAGAAUCGGGUGUUGUCAUUUUUUAUGAAGAUGGGGAACCUGAAGAGAGAGUUUCGUUAACCUUGGAAUGCCUUCCACAGUAUGAUCCUGCUAAAUAUUGGAAUGGUGAUACAAAUCAAACUUUCCGCUAUUGGAAGAUACGUGACUAUGCUCAUGCUUAUCGCUCAAGGAUUAGAACACCAUCUACAGUGAGUUGGUGUUACUUCGCUAAAAGAAUGUAUCAUUAUUUAUAUUGCUACUGAAUUCUAAUAUCACAUGCUUUUAGGUUACAGGCAUGUAAUCUCGGUUCUUGAGGAGUUUAGCAGCAAGAAACCUGCAAUUCCUAUGUUGAUUUCAUUUGAUGUAGAGGAAGUCAGGAAGCAAGCUGCAACAUUGACAAAAAGAUUUGAGGAAGGCAAUCCAUUAUCUAUCUAGGAUGGAAUUUUUAUGGCAGUUAAGGAUGAUAUAGACUGUUAUCCUCAUCCAUCAAAUGGUGGAUCAACAUGGAUGCACGAGGGUCGCCCUGUCAAGAAGGAUGCAGUUAGUGUUUCAAAACUACGUAGAUGCGGUGUAAGAUUAAUCUUCUGCUCCAAUUCAAACAAAUCUUCUUAUGACGCCUUACAAAAUGGGAAAGUUCAAUCUUUCUCAUAGGUGACCAUCUUUCUUCUUUGAUUAGUAGGAAUCUCAUAUGGGUCUUGUUCAAUGUUUUUAUUUUCUGUCUCCUGAUUAAUUUUAUAUUGAUUGUUUCUU